UGGGGAAUAUUGGACAAUGGGGGAAACCCUGAUCCAGCCAUGCCGCGUGAGUGAAGAAGGCCUUAGGGUUGUAAAACUCUUUCAACGGGGAAGAUAAUGACGGUACCCGUAGAAGAAGCUCCGGCUAACUUCGUGCCAGCAGCCGCGGUAAUACGAAGGGGGCUAGCGUUGUUCGGAAUUACUGGGCGUAAAGCGCAUGUAGGCGGAUUAUUAAGUCGAGGGUGAAAUCCCGGGGCUCAACCUCGGAACUGCCCUCGAUACUGGUAGUCUAGAGUUUGGGAGAGGUAAGCGGAAUACCGAGUGUAGAGGUGAAAUUCGUAGAUAUUCGGUGGAACACCAGAGGCGAAGGCGGCUUACUGGACCAAUACUGACGCUGAGAUGCGAAAGCGUGGGGAGCAAACAGGAUUAGAUACCCCCGUAGUCC
RNAcentral lists this ribosomal RNA (424 nucleotides) under uncultured prokaryote. RNAcentral describes it as "bacterial SSU rRNA". It matches the Rfam family "Bacterial small subunit ribosomal RNA", at positions 355 to 796 of the family's 1533-position model. The record is from RNAcentral.